GAUGAACGCUGGCGGCGUGCCUAAUACAUGCAAGUCGAGCGAACGGACGAGAAGAUUGCUUCUCUGAUGUUAGCGGCGGACGGGUGAGUAACACGUGGAUAACCUACCUAUAAGACUGGGAUAACUUCGGGAAACCGGAGCUAAUACCGGAUGAUAUUUUGCACCGCAUGGUUCAAAAGUGAAAGACGGUCUUGCUGUCACUUAUAGAUGGAUCCGCGCUGCAUUAGCUAGUUGGUAAGGUAACGGCUUACCAAGGCAACGAUGCAUAGCCGACCUGAGAGGGUGGUAGGCCACACGAGAGCGGGGACGCGGUCCAGACUCCUACGGGAGGCAGCAGUAGGGAAUCUUCCGCAAUGGGCGAGAGCCUGACGGAGCAACGCCGCGUGAGUGAUGAAGGUCUUCGGAUCGUAAAACUCUGUUAUUAGGGAAGAACAUAUGUGUAAGUAACUGUGCACAUCUUGACGGUACCUAAUCAGAAAGCCACGGCUAACUACGUG
RNAcentral lists this ribosomal RNA (497 nucleotides) under uncultured bacterium. RNAcentral describes it as "partial 16S ribosomal RNA". It matches the Rfam family "Bacterial small subunit ribosomal RNA", at positions 28 to 507 of the family's 1533-position model. The record is from RNAcentral.